Molecule: long non-coding RNA, 399 nt
Filed under: Anas platyrhynchos platyrhynchos (common mallard)
Lineage: Eukaryota; Metazoa; Chordata; Aves; Anseriformes; Anatidae
Description: lncRNA (ENSAPLG00000017192.1)
Source: RNAcentral
CUGAAAUAUAGUUGUAUUAAAUAUGGAGAGAGGACAAGUAACAGAAAGGAAGAAACAAGAAAAGUUACCCUCUUAGCUUGCAGAGAAAAACAAAGCUUUCCAUGAAGCUGAGGUUUCAACACAUGGCAUUAGCUUGAGUAUUGUGGGAGUUGCUGUGAUUACAGCCCAUUGGUUCUUUAGGGGUGGACUUUUAUGGUCAAAAAAUGUGCGAUUAAAAAGGGACUUGUGAGGUUGUGUCUGUAUGGUGCAAGAAAGCAAAUACCAUUCAUACUCGAUAGACUAAAAUGUAGAUGGUUUCACCAGGGCACCUUUGAGAUGGGCUGCCUGUGGCAGAAGAUUAAAAUCACAGCACUACCCCAGUGUUACAGUUUGAGCAGUGUCCUGUACUCUGGUACUUAA